UUUAAACCUUUGAGAAAGAGUAGUAGGCUUUAGUAUUUAAUUACAGAGAGUUGCAGAUGGUGGAAAUGCAAUAUUGAAUUUUUGGCUGAAUGGACUUUUGAGGGCAAUUCAGAAUUAACAGUAUGAAUUGACGGAGACCAUUACCGUUAUUGUAUGGCAUAUAUGAUUGUAUAUGAUUAAGUGGAUUUUUUAAAAAUCAAUUUGAGUGGUACCGCGGAAUUAUUCGUCUCAAGC
This 234-nucleotide non-coding RNA is filed under the name Eubacterium sp. RNAcentral's name for it is "T-box sequence". It matches the Rfam family "T-box leader". From Rfam's summary of the family: Uncharged tRNA acts as the effector for transcription antitermination of genes in the T-box leader family. Lineage: Bacteria; Bacillati; Bacillota; Clostridia; Eubacteriales; Eubacteriaceae. The record is from RNAcentral.